CCUACGGGGGGCAGCAGUGAGGAAUAUUGGUCAAUGGUCGCGAGCCUGAACCAGCCAAGUAGCGUGAAGGAUGACUGCCCUACGGGUUGUAAACUUCUUUUAUAUGGGAAUAAAAUGAUCCACGUGUGCCUUUUUGUAUGUACUUUAUGAAUAAGAAUCGGCUAACUCCGUGCCAUCAGCCGCGGUCAUACGGAGGAUCCGCGCGUUAUCCGGAUUUAUUGGGUUUAAGGGGAGCGUAGAUGGGUUGUUAAGUCAGUUGUGAAAGUUUGCGGCUCAACCGUAAAAUUGCAAUUGAUACUGGCAGGCUUGAGUACAGUAGAGGUGGGCGGAAUUCGUGGUGUAGCGGUGAAAUGCGUAGAUAUCACGAAGAACACCGAUUGCGAAGGCAGCUCACUAAACUGCAACUGACACUGAGGCUCGAAAGUGUGGGUAUCAAACAGGAUUAGAUACCCGGGUAGUC
Molecule: ribosomal RNA, 460 nt
Filed under: uncultured bacterium
Lineage: Bacteria
Description: partial 16S ribosomal RNA
Rfam family: Bacterial small subunit ribosomal RNA
Source: RNAcentral